AGCCGCGCUCCCUGUCCUCCAGGAGCUCACCUGCGUCCGGCCGUGAGCGCCUCGGGGCCAGAGCCCGCGUCUGC
Molecule: non-coding RNA, 74 nt
Organism: Eptesicus fuscus (big brown bat)
Lineage: Eukaryota; Metazoa; Chordata; Mammalia; Chiroptera; Vespertilionidae
Source: Rfam